UGAUACCUGCGGUACUUGUGAUAUUAUCUUUGUUUAAGAACCAAUUAUUCAGAGGGAAUCAAGCCAUUUGUGGCGUACAAGCCGGACACGAUCCGGAUCUAUAAAGCAAACAAGGUAGAUACCCACUUUAACGUGGGUUCCUGAAAACUAUAAUACACGGUACUGCGGGUUUAAU
This 175-nucleotide non-coding RNA is filed under the name Armatimonadota bacterium. Its description in RNAcentral is "Armatimonadetes bacterium (aquatic metagenome) 6S RNA". It matches the Rfam family "6S / SsrS RNA". From Rfam's summary of the family: E. coli 6S RNA was the first non coding RNA to be sequenced, but its function was unknown until recently. It consists of 184 nucleotides that fold into an extended hairpin structure with a large single-stranded internal bulge. The record is from RNAcentral. Lineage: Bacteria; Bacillati; Armatimonadota.